RNAcentral lists this ribosomal RNA (253 nucleotides) under uncultured bacterium. Its description in RNAcentral is "partial 16S ribosomal RNA". It matches the Rfam family "Bacterial small subunit ribosomal RNA", at positions 524 to 776 of the family's 1533-position model. The record is from RNAcentral.
UACGGGGGGGGCAAGCGUUGUUCGGAAUUACUGGGCGUAAAGGGCGCGUAGGCGGCCUGCUAAGUCGGACGUGAAAUCCCUCGGCUCAACCGAGGAACUGCGUCCGAUACUGGUGGGCUUGAAUCCGGGAGAGGGAUGUGGAAUUCCAGGUGUAGCGGUGAAAUGCGUAGAUAUUGGGAGGAACACCAGUGGCGAAGGCGGUCCCCUGGGCCGGAACUGACGCUGAGGCGCGAAAGCGUGGGUAGCAAACGGG